GAGACCAACAUACAAAAUUGACGAAACACAAAGUCACGGUCUCACAACAUGUAAUUAAACGGGCUACACGUGUUUCGCUCUAGUUAGAGCAUCAUCAGGCCUUUAGAAGCCAUCCACACACUUAUGCUGUAACUGAUGAUGCUCUAACUAGAGCGAAACACGUGUAGCCCGUUUAAUUACAUGUUGUGAGACCGUGACUUUGUGUUUUUCUUUGUUUUUCGUCAAUCUAUAGUAAAUACAGAGAGAAAAGGAAAGGUCUUAUUAUAUAUUAUAAUCAAAAAUAAAUUUCAUUGAAAUAUUACUAACUUAUUUCUGGGUAUCAUGCUUCAGAGAACCAUGAUGUGUUACAAUACGCUCCGCUCUUUAAUUUUAGUUUAGUAGAAAAUAUUCUCAAAACCUGCAUAUAUCAAAAUUAUGUCAGGGUUCUAAAAUGAAUCGGUAAUAAAAUCGUAAACCAGAUCAACAUUGGAAAUAAUUUAAAAAAUUUGCUUUGGUCCGAUUGAAAAAAGUACUAUACUACCAAAUAGUUACAUCUAUUCUGUAGCAAUAAAAGUUAUAAAAUUCUGUCUAUUAUUAAUUUUAAUAUUAUAAAGUGUAUCGUUUAACUCUUAGCCAUUAUUUACAAUUUAAUUGUUAAUUAUGCCUAAAAAAACGAAUUAACAACUUUGGUAUUGUUUGGAAGGUAAACAGCUUAAUUCCUUUAUGUAAAGCCACCUUAACAUGUUUUUGCAUAAUUCUGACUCACGUUGGUUGCUAUCGGGCUUAAGCCAUAAAAAUCGAAGAAAAAAAGAAGAAGACGAAGAGACUUUCACUUGUCAUUUCAAUGUCACUUUCCGGCCCACAAGCAUAAACGCCACCGGCAACGGAAGUUCCCAAAAUCCAAACAAAUGUUGGAAGAUAUUUUUAAGUCUCCGCAUCUUUCUUACUUUCCUAUAUGAAAAUAAAAUGUAAGUAUCACAAUUACACACAUACAAGUUUUUUUUUUAAUUCAGUUUCAUAAUUACCAAUUUUUAGUGAAUAAUCCUGAAAUUUAUGAAAAUACAUACAUUUUAAGGUUAUGUCAUAAUGUUUUGAUUGUUAUAUUUGAUUUUGUUUUUGUUAUUUUAGUGGACUACACCAACAAAGGUUAUGUGUUUUGCACCAGAUUGAAAGCAUCAUAGCGAAAAACGGACCUGUCAUAUCUUUAAAUUUUCAAAAGAGCCCCUGGAAAAAGAAAAAUGAAUAUCUUUGCCAAGGAAUAGGUACUAAGGCAAAUGGAUAAAAAACCUUCAGUCCAUGCAUUGGUAUGUAAUUGUUGACAAAAAUACAAUGAAUGGCCUCACUACUUUUCCACAUGCAAAGAGGUUAACCAAGGAGAAAUUAAAGAAAUUGUCAAAAACCUAGGUAAAUACAGAAUUGCUUAGUACAAACAUAUCUAUACCCAGUACAAGUUCGUCCACUUCUUUGAAGCAUGGUACUUCAAACAGAAACACUGUCAACAAUUUUGUAGAAGGUGAGCCGGUGUCAAAUUCCAGUAAGGGUCAUGAUUUCAAUUUUGCACCAACAGCAGAGCUAAAAUUCAUUUUGCCGCAAAAAACUGGAGGAUGUGAAAGAAAAAAGUGUAGAAGUUAAAAUUAAGUUUUUCAUAUGAGCACAUAAAAAAUAAUCAUGACAAAGUUCAGUUGUAUACAGGUUUG
Anthonomus grandis grandis is the source of this 1676-nucleotide long non-coding RNA. RefSeq lists it as uncharacterized. The record is from RefSeq and is a predicted model, not a curated record. The transcript is spliced from 3 exons. NCBI's taxonomy places the organism in Eukaryota, Metazoa, Arthropoda, Insecta, Coleoptera, Curculionidae.